GUGAACGCUGGCGGUAGGCCUAACACAUGCAAGUCGAACGGCAGCACAGUAAGAGCUUGCUCUUACGGGUGGCGAGUGGCGGACGGGUGAGGAAUACAUCGGAAUCUACUUUUUCGUGGGGGAUAACGUAGGGAAACUUACGCUAAUACCGCAUACGACCUACGGGUGAAAGCAGGGGAUCUUCGGACCUUGCGCGAUUGAAUGAGCCGAUGUCGGAUUAGCUAGUUGGCGGGGUAAAGGCCCACCAAGGCGACGAUCCGUAGCUGGUCUGAGAGGAUGAUCAGCCACACUGGAACUGAGACACGGUCCAGACUCCUACGGGAGGCAGCAGUGGGGAAUAUUGGACAAUGGGCGCAAGCCUGAUCCAGCCAUACCGCGUGGGUGAAGAAGCCCUUCGGGUUGUAAAGCCCUUUUGUUGGGAAAGAAAAGCAGCAGGUUAAUACCCCGCUGUUCUGACGGUACCCAAAGAAUAAGCACCGGCUAACUUCGUG
This 491-nucleotide ribosomal RNA is filed under the name uncultured bacterium. RNAcentral's name for it is "partial 16S ribosomal RNA". It matches the Rfam family "Bacterial small subunit ribosomal RNA", at positions 29 to 507 of the family's 1533-position model. The record is from RNAcentral.